Molecule: ribosomal RNA, 473 nt
Filed under: uncultured bacterium
Lineage: Bacteria
Description: bacterial SSU rRNA
Rfam family: Bacterial small subunit ribosomal RNA
Source: RNAcentral
GACGAACGCUGGCGGCGUGCUUAAUACAUGCAAGUCGAACGAUGAAAGCUGGAGCUUGCUCCGGCUGGAUUAGUGGCGAACGGGUGAGUAACACGUGAGUAACCUGCCCCUCACUCUGGGAUAACCUCGGGAAACCGAAGCUAAUACCGGAUACGACCCUCGGAGGCAUCUCCAGGGGGUGGAAAGAAUUUCGGUGAGGGAUGGACUCGCGGCCUAUCAGGUAGUUGGUGAGGUAACGGCUCACCAAGCCGACGAUGGGUAGCCGGCCUGAGAGGGUGACCGGCCACACUGGGACUGAGACACGGCCCAGACUCCUACGGGAGGCAGCAGUAGGGAAUAUUGCACAAUGGGCGCAAGCCUGAUGCAGCAACGCCGCGUGAGGGACGACGGCCUCGGUUGUAACCUCUUUAGUAGGUAAGAAGCGAAGUAGACGGUACCUGCAGAAAAGACACCGGCGUAACUACGUAGCCAGC